UCGGCUCGGGGGCUGGCGCAUAGAUGACGUGUAAGAUUUUGAUUGGUCCAGACCAUUAGACCACUGUCACGUGACACGGGGAAUUACACAGACACUUCCGCCAUAACAAUAAACGGAUUCUUCCCGAGUAAAAAAACGAGGAGGCCCGAACAAAUACGUUAAGAAUCAUAAAAGGAGAAGGAAUAUUUGCCAUCAGCUGCAAAAACCUUGACAACGAAAUAAUCCGAUGGAGAGGAAUCAUCACAGGAUAAUGAUCGUUAUUUUAGUAGAGAGAAAUCAGGCUGUGAUCAUCCUGAACCUGUCACACAAGCGAUCCAGCAUCAGCGACAGUGCGACUUGACUCCUUCAUCCUGUUCCUGUGGACUCUCUUGACAACCAGCUUUCAUCAUUGACCAAGCAUGGUCUUCCUAUUUCUCACCUGCUAUGGGGCUUCGGAGCUUCCAGAAGAUCCGUUUGAAAUCCUCCAGGUCGUUCCAGGAUUUCCCAAACCUGAUGGUGAGUUUCUUCAGAGACAACUCCAGCAAACUGAAGACAAAAAAAUGACGUAAUUUUUCCAGUCUAAAAUAAACUCUUUGCUAGUGAUGUUUAAAGAAGAAAAAGAUCAAUCAAGUUAAAAUAUAUAUUUAUUUCAACAGUGGUUUGACUGAAAAUUAUAAAUUAAAACAAAAAUGCGUCCCCUACUCCUCUAAUUGUAGGGACAUUUGAAGCUGUAGUGGUUGUCUGGCUGUCCCUUUUCCGAUAGAGUGACCCGCGUCAUGCUUGUAGCGUUGUGGAGAAACACAUUUGUUCAAGUAUUAGUGCUCUGAAGCACAAACAUUUACAUUUAGAUGUACGUUUUUGUUUUAUUAUGACUUUUUAAAGUUAUAAAACCGAUAUUGUUAUGUAUUUUCCGAGCGCAGGGAGCCACACACUAACAUAGAGAACCGUCAACUAUUGAUGACAUCAUUGAGAGUUAGUAACAUUCGAAUUUGAAGAAUAAAUCUAUGUCCAAAUUCCCUACUCACUCUUUAGAGUGUUCUAGUGCUGUCUGAAUCUACUAAUUCCAAAAUCGAGUGCGCUAGAAAUUUCCCAGAAGUCUUUGCGAAAAAUUAGUGAGCACCAAUGCUCACUGGAUUAGCGAAUAUAGACCAUGGUCGAACAAUUUCAAACAAAAAAAUGUGUUUAAGUGUAUUUUUUUAAUGAACCAGCCCCAUUUUCACCAUCAUAACACAGCGGAGUCAUAAAUAAACGUUGUGAAAUGUUCAUAUUAAUUCGAUUUUGACUUUGUGAAAUUGCUGACAUCAUAUCAGAAUUGCCUUCAAACUACUAUAUAGUCCUGCACUAUAUAGUUUUUUAGUAGUUAGGGGUUAGGGAGGGAAUUCAGACACAACCUCACUCUCUGUUUGGAGGGAUAACUGUAGGGGUAGGGGAAGAAUUUGGCCCAUGACUCUAAUAAACUCAGAGGUAGGUCUAAUGUGAUUUUUAAAAUGGGAAAUUAUAUCAGAAUAACCCAAAAUUGUGGGCUAAAAUAAACCAGCAAGUAGUUGGUCCCUUUUAACUCUCAAGCUGGGUUAUAAAUAACCAAAUUGGGUAGUUUUGGUGUGGUGUAUGCAAAAGUAUAAGUGUGUGUUUAGGCUUACGCGUAGUGCAGAGAAUGCUCAAAAUCGCUCCUCUUCUCAUUCUCAAAUCGAGCGUCUUGCGGUAGAUCUGCCUCCGUUUUGGCAUCAAUGCAUCUGGGAAUCCCUGGAGCCCAAGUGAUCCACCUGACACACAAACACAAACAGGGUGACAAACACACACACACACACUGACCAGAAUCCACAUGGACUGGCUGAACCUGUAGGUCUUCCGCCGCUCCUGCAGCUCGGUCUUCCUGUGUUCCAGCAGCUUUGGAGAGCUGUCGUCCAUCACUGUUGUUGCUAUGGAGACGGAGCGUUUUCAGUGGGGCAGACCCAUCACGGUAAAGGACACGAGAAACAUAUUAAAUGAUAAAACAACAUCAAACAAAGACGUCAUUCAAAUGUGAUAGUCUUGAGGUUGAGUUAUAGCAACUGGACUUAAACAUUUUUUUCCUUUGAAACAUUUCAAAGGAUAAAAGAU
Long non-coding RNA from Oryzias melastigma (Indian medaka), 2079 nucleotides. RefSeq lists it as uncharacterized. The record is from RefSeq and is a predicted model, not a curated record. Lineage: Eukaryota; Metazoa; Chordata; Actinopteri; Beloniformes; Adrianichthyidae. The transcript is spliced from 3 exons.